ACCCCUCUCCACCCCGCUUGUUUCGGCAAGUUGCUCAGGGCUUGGGAUCAUGGACGCUUUGUCGGGACUUUGGUGUUUCGACUACGCUGAAAUUGAACAAGCUGGAUCCGCCUUGCGGCUUGACCUGUUGUUGUAAACUAAAUUCAAUGGGAACGCAAGCGAGGAACGAGCUUACCAGAACCGCCUUUCGGGGCACAGUGCA
This 202-nucleotide unclassified non-coding RNA is filed under the name Ballistosporomyces sasicola. RNAcentral's name for it is "partial internal transcribed spacer 2". The record is from RNAcentral. Lineage: Eukaryota; Fungi; Basidiomycota; Agaricostilbomycetes; Agaricostilbales; Chionosphaeraceae.